AUUUAGAUACCCUGGUAGUCCACGCUGUAAACGAUGUCGAUUUGGAGGUUGUGCCCUUGAGGCGUGGCUUCCGGAGCUAACGCGUUAAAUCGACCGCCUGGGGAGUACGGCCGCAAGGUUAAAACUCAAAUGAAUUGACGGGGGCCCGCACAAGCGGUGGAGCAUGUGGUUUAAUUCGAUGCAACGCGAAGAACCUUACCUACUCUUGACAUCCAGAGAAUUUAGCAGAGAUGCUUUAGUGCCUUCGGGAACUCUGAGACAGGUGCUGCAUGGCUGUCGUCAGCUCGUGUUGUGAAAUGUUGGGUUAAGUCCCGCAACGAGCGCAACCCUUAUCCUUUGUUGCCAGCGAUUCGGUCGGGAACUCAAAGGAGACUGCCGGUGAUAAACCGGAGGAAGGUGGGGAUGACGUCAAGUCAUCAUGGCCCUUACGAGUAGGGCUACACACGUGCUACAAUGGCGUAUACAAAGAGAAGCGACCUCGCGAGAGCAAGCGGAACUCAUAAAGUACGUCGUAGUCCGGAUUGGAGUCUGCAACUCGACUCCAUGAAGUCGGAAUCGCUAGUAAUCGUAGAUCAGAAUGCUACGGUGAAUACGUUCCCGGGCCUUGUACACACCGCCCGUCACACCAUGGGAGUGGGUUGCAAAAGAAGUAGGUAGCUUAACCUUCGGGAGGGCGCUUACCACUUUGUGAUUCAUGACUGGGGUGAAGUCGUA
Molecule: ribosomal RNA, 714 nt
Filed under: Providencia vermicola
Lineage: Bacteria; Pseudomonadati; Pseudomonadota; Gammaproteobacteria; Enterobacterales; Morganellaceae
Description: bacterial SSU rRNA
Rfam family: Bacterial small subunit ribosomal RNA
Source: RNAcentral